Nilaparvata lugens (brown planthopper) is the source of this 180-nucleotide long non-coding RNA. RefSeq lists it as uncharacterized. NCBI's taxonomy places the organism in Eukaryota, Metazoa, Arthropoda, Insecta, Hemiptera, Delphacidae. The transcript is spliced from 2 exons. The record is from RefSeq and is a predicted model, not a curated record.
CCGGACUCGAAGUUAGAGAGAAGAGUGAUGCAAGCGGUCGUGAAGGGCAUGACCUUGACUCCCCUGUAGAUAAAACCAUUGUUCCACAGUUCGGAAAACACCCACCAGACGCUCUCCAUGAACCACGGGUCACACAGGAUCAAAUGCAUUGUCAUGGGAAGAUCUGAAGAACUACCUAAA